Small nuclear RNA from Meriones unguiculatus (Mongolian gerbil), 107 nucleotides. NCBI's taxonomy places the organism in Eukaryota, Metazoa, Chordata, Mammalia, Rodentia, Muridae. The record is from Ensembl.
GUGCUCACUUCAGCAGCACAUAUACUAAAAUUGGAAUAAUACAGGGAAGAUUAACAUGGCCCCUACACAAGGAUGACACGCAAAUUCGUGAAGCAUUCCAUAUUUUU